RNAcentral lists this ribosomal RNA (552 nucleotides) under uncultured bacterium. RNAcentral's name for it is "bacterial SSU rRNA". It matches the Rfam family "Bacterial small subunit ribosomal RNA", at positions 354 to 896 of the family's 1533-position model. The record is from RNAcentral.
GUGGGGAAUUUUGGACAAUGGGCGCAAGCCUGAUCCAGCCAUGCCGCGUGUCUGAAGAAGGCCUUCGGGUUGUAAAGGACUUUUGUCAGGGAAGAAAAGGCUGUUGCUAAUAUCGACAGCUGAUGACGGUACCUGAAGAAUAAGCACCGGCUAACUACGUGCCAGCAGCCGCGGUAAUACGUAGGGUGCGAGCGUUAAUCGGAAUUACUGGGCGUAAAGCGAGCGCAGACGGUUACUUAAGCAGGAUGUGAAAUCCCCGGGCUCAACCUGGGAACUGCGUUCUGAACUGGGUGACUAGAGUGUGUCAGAGGGAGGUAGAAUUCCACGUGUAGCAGUGAAAUGCGUAGAGAUGUGGAGGAAUACCGAUGGCGAAGGCAGCCUCCUGGGAUAACACUGACGUUCAUGCUCGAAAGCGUGGGUAGCAAACAGGAUUAGAUACCCUGGUAGUCCACGCCCUAAACGAUGUCAAUUAGCUGUUGGGCAACUUGAUUGCUUUAGUAGCGUAGCUNACGCGUGAAAUUGACCGCCUGGGGAGUACGGUCGCAAAGAUUA